Non-coding RNA from Equus caballus (horse), 11638 nucleotides. Lineage: Eukaryota; Metazoa; Chordata; Mammalia; Perissodactyla; Equidae. The record is from RefSeq and is a predicted model, not a curated record.
AGAGGAGGAGGAGAGAGGGAAGAGAAAAGACGAGCGCGAGAGGGAUAGAGAGCGCGCGCGUUCCCUCCCGAGUCCCCGAGCUGCCGGAGGAGUCUGGAUUGUGUCCCCAGUGUCAGAUGAAAGGGCGCUGAGGCUCGCGGCCGCCGUCCCGCGCCCCGCGUUGCGCACGCCCCUCUGCGAGCCCGGCCGCCGAGCAUCUCUCCGCGCCGGGGCCGAAGCCAGCGCUGCGGGCCGGCCGCUCCGUCUCCAGCGCAAUGUGGCCGCGCCUGGCCUUUUGUUGCUGGGGUCUGGCGCUCGUUUCGGGCUGGGCGACCUUUCAGCAGAUGUCCCCGUCGCGCAAUUUCAGCUUCCGCCUCUUCCCCGAGGCCGCGCCCGGGGCUCCGGGGAGGCUGCCCUCGCCGCCCGCGCCCGGCGAGGACGCGGCGGAGAGCAAAGUGGAGCGACUGGGCCAGGCGUUCCGGCGACGCGUGCGGCGGCUGCGGGAGCUCAGCGAGCGCCUGGAGCUGGUCUUCCUGGUGGACGAGUCGUCCAGCGUGGGCCAAGCCAACUUCCUCAGCGAGCUCAAGUUCGUCCGCAAGCUGCUGUCCGACUUCCCCGUGGUGCCCACGGCCACACGCGUGGCCAUCGUGACCUUCUCGUCCAAGAACAACGUGGUGCCGCGCGUCGAUUACAUCUCCUCCCGCCGCGCCCACCAGCACAAGUGCGCGCUGCUCAGCCAAGAGAUCCCGGCCAUCACCUACCGCGGCGGCGGCACCUACACCAAGGGCGCCUUCCAGCAAGCCGCGCAAAUUCUUCGCCAUUCUAGAGAAAACUCAACAAAAGUUAUAUUUCUCAUUACUGAUGGAUAUUCCAAUGGGGGAGAUCCUAGACCAGUUGCCGCCUCGCUGCGAGAUUUUGGAGUGGAGAUCUUCACUUUUGGCAUAUGGCAAGGAAACAUUCGAGAACUGAAUGACAUGGCUUCCACCCCAAAGGAGGAACACUGCUACCUGCUCCACAGUUUUGAAGAAUUUGAGGCUUUAGCUCGCCGGGCAUUACAUGAAGAUCUGCCUUCUGGGAGUUUUAUUCAAGAGGAUAUGUCCCAUUGCUCAUAUCUGUGUGAAGCCGGCAAAGACUGCUGUGACCGAAUGGCAAGCUGCAAAUGUGGGACACACACGGGUCAAUUUGAGUGCAUCUGUGAAAAGGGGUAUUAUGGGAAAGGUCUACAGUAUGAAUGCACAGCUUGCCCAUCAGGGACAUACAAAUCAGAAGGUUCGCCAGGAGGAAUCAGCACUUGUCUUCCAUGUCCUGAUGAAAAUCACACCUCUCGACCUGGAAGUACGUCCCCUGAAGACUGUGUCUGCAAGCAGGGAUAUCGAGCAUCCGGCCAGACGUGUGAAGUUGUUCACUGCCCUGCCCUGAAGCCUCCUGAAAACGGUUAUUUUAUCCAAAACACUUGCAACAACCACUUUAAUGCAGCCUGUGGAGUCCGAUGUCACCCUGGAUUUGACCUCGUGGGAAGCAGCAUCCUCUUGUGUCUACCCAAUGGUUUGUGGUCUGGUUCAGAGAGCUCCUGCAGAGUAAGAACAUGCCCUCGUCUCCGCCAACCCAAACAUGGUCGCAUAAGCUGUUCUGCAGGGGAAAUGUCCUACAAGACCACAUGUUUGGUUACCUGUGAUGAAGGGUACAGACUAGAAGGAAGUGCUAAGCUUACUUGUCAAGGAAAUGCCCAGUGGGAUGGUCUAGAACCCCGGUGUGUGGAGCGCCACUGUUCCACCUUUCAGAAGCCCAAAGGUGUCAUCAUAUCCCCCCCCAACUGUGGCAAGCAGCCAGCCAAACCUGGGAUGGUUUGUCAGCUAAGUUGCCGCCAAGGAUUCAUUUUGUCUGGAGUCAGAGACGAAGUGAGAUGUACCACCUCUGGAAAAUGGAGUGCCAGAGUUCAGACAGCUGUUUGUAAAGAUGUGGAGGCUCCUCAAAUCAGCUGUCCUAAGGACAUAGAGGCUAAGACUCAGGAACAGCAAGACUCUGCUAAUAUCACCUGGCAAAUUCCAACAGCUAAAGACAACUCUGGGGAAAAGGUGUCAAUCCACGUUCAUCCAGCUUUCACUCCACCUUACCUUUUCCCCAUUGGAGAUGUUGCUAUCACAUACACAGCAACUGACCUGUCCAGUAACCAAGCCAGCUGCACUUUCCAUAUCAAAGUUAUUGAUGUGGAACCACCCAGCAUAGACUGGUGCAGAUCCCCGCCUCCAAUCCAGGUCUCAGAGAAGGAGCAUGCUGUAACCUGGGAUGAGCCUCAGUUCUCAGACAACUCAGGGGCUGUAUUGGUCAUCACCAGAAGUCAUACACCAGGAGACCUUUUCCCUCACGGGGAGACUGUAGUGCGCUAUACAGCCACUGACCCCUCAGGCAAUUACAGAACAUGUGACAUCCACAUUGUCAUAAAAGGUUCUCCCUGUGAAGUUCCAUUCACACCUGUAAAUGGGGAUUUUGUAUGCACUCAGGAUAGUGCUGGAGUUAACUGCACAUUAAGUUGCUUGGAGGGCUAUGAUUUCACAGAAGGGUCUACUGAGAAGUAUUAUUGUGCUUAUGAAGAUGGCAUCUGGAAACCACCAUAUUCCACUGAAUGGCCAGACUGUGCUAUAAAACGUUUUGCAAAUCAUGGUUUCAAGUCCUUUGAGAUGUUGUACAAAGCAACUCGUUGUGAUGACACAGAUCUGUUGAAGAAGUUUUCUGAAGCAUUUGAGACUACCCUGGGGAAAAUGGUCCCAUCAUUUUGUAGUGAUGCUGAUGACAUUGACUGCAGACUGGAGGACCUGACCAAAAAAUAUUGCCUCGAAUAUAAUUAUGAAUAUGAAAAUGGCUUUGCAAUUGGACCGGGUGGUUGGGGCACAGCUAACAGACUGGAUUACUCUUACGAUGACUUCUUGGAUGCUGUGCGAGAAACACCCACGGGCGCUGGCAAAGCCAGAUCUUCACGGAGCAAAAGAAAUGCCCCGUUAUCUGACCACAAAAUCAAGUUAAUUUUUAACAUCACAGCUAGUGUGCCAUUACCCGAGGAAAGAAAUGAUACCCUUGAAUUGGAAAAUCAGCAACGACUCAUUAAGACACUGGAAACUAUCACAAAUCGACUAAAAAGGACCCUCAAUAAGGAGCCCAUGUAUUCCUUUCAGCUUGCAUCUGAAAUGCUUGUAGCCGACAGCAAUUCCUUAGAAACGGAAAAGGCUUUCCUCUUUUGCAGACCAGGCUCAGUGCUGAGAGGGCGUAUGUGUGUCAAUUGCCCUUUGGGAACCUCUUAUUCCCUGGAGCAUUCUGUCUGUGAAAGCUGCUUGAUGGGAUCCUAUCAAGAUGAAGAAGGGCAACUCGAGUGCAAACUCUGUCCGCCUGGGACUUACACGGAGUAUCUCCAUUCAAGAAGCAGCUCUGAGUGUAAAGCUCAGUGUAAACAAGGCACCUACUCAUCAAAUGGUCUUGAAACCUGUGAAUCGUGUCCGCUGGGUAGUUAUCAGCCAGCAUUUGGUUCCCGGAGCUGCCUCUUCUGCCCAGAAAACACUUCAACUGUGAAAAGAGGAGCCGUGGACAUUGCUGCUUGUGGAGUACCUUGUCCAGUGGGAGAAUUUUCUCGUUCUGGGUUAAUGCCCUGUUAUCCUUGUCCUCAAGACUACUACCAACCCAAUCCAGGGAAAUCCUUCUGCUUAUCAUGUCCCUUUUAUGGAACUACAACCAUCACUGGUGCCAGAUCCAUCACAGAUUGUUCCAGUUUUAGUUCAACUUUCUCAGCAGCAGAGGAAAGUAUAGUGCCACUUGCUUCUACUGGGAAUAUCAAAAAGAAGUAUGAAGUCAGCAGUCAGGUUUUCCAUGAAUGUUUCUUAAACCCCUGCCACAAUAGUGGAACCUGCCAACAACUGGGGCGUGGUUACGUUUGUCUCUGUCCACGUGGAUAUACAGGCUUAAAGUGUGAGAUAGACAUUGAUGAAUGCAGCUCACUGCCGUGCCUGAACAGUGGAAUUUGUAAAGAUGGAGUUGGGGAAUUCGUUUGUGAAUGCCCAUCGGGUUACACAGGUCAACUAUGUGAAGAAAAUAUAAAUGAGUGUAGCUCCAGUCCUUGUUUAAAUAAAGGAACCUGCAUCGAUGGCCUGGCGGGCUAUCGCUGCACCUGUGUGAAAGGAUAUGCAGGCCUGCACUGUGAAACAGAAGUCAAUGAAUGCCAGUCAAGUCCAUGCUUAAAUAAUGCAGUCUGUGAAGACCAGGUUGGGGGAUUCUUGUGCAAAUGCCCACCUGGAUUUUUGGGUACCCGGUGUGAAAAAAACGUGGAUGAGUGUCUCAGUCAACCAUGUAGAAAUGGAGCUACCUGUAAAGAUGGUGCCAAUAGCUUCAGGUGCCAGUGUGCAGCAGGCUUCACAGGGCCACGCUGUGAACUGAACAUCAACGAAUGUCAGUCUAACCCGUGUAGAAAUCAGGCCACCUGUGUGGAUGAGUUAAACUCAUACAGUUGUAAAUGUCGGCCAGGAUUUUCAGGCAGCAGAUGUGAAACAGAACAGUCUACGGGUUUUAACCUGGAUUUUGAAGUUUCUGGUAUCUAUGGUUACGUCAUGCUAGAUGGUGUGCUUCCAUCUCUCCGUGCUGUGACCUGCACAUUCUGGAUGAAAUCCUCUGACACCACCAACUAUGGAACACCAAUCUCCUAUGCACUUGAGAAGGGCAGCGACAAUACCUUCCUCCUGACUGAUUAUAAUGGCUGGGUUCUUUACGUGAAUGGCAAGGAAAAGAUAACAGACUGUCCAGCCGUGAAUGAUGGAAGCUGGCAUCAUAUUGCAAUCACUUGGACAAGUGCUGAUGGAGCCUGGAAAGUCUAUAUCGAUGGGAAAUUAUCUGACGGCGGUGUGGGCCUUUCUGUUGGUUCGGCCAUACCUGGUGGUGGAGCAUUAGUUCUUGGGCAAGAACAAGACAAAAAAGGAGAGGGAUUCAACCCAGCUGAGUCUUUUGUGGGCUCCAUAAGCCAGCUCAACCUCUGGGACUAUGUCCUGUCUCCACAGCAGGUGAAAUCGCUGGCUACCUCAUGCCCAGAGGAACUUAAUAAAGGAAAUGUGUUAGCCUGGCCUGAUUUCCUGUCGGGAAUUGUGGGGAAAGUGAAGAUCGAUUCCAAGAGCAUAUUCUGUUCUGAUUGCCCACCUUUAGAAGGAUCGGUACCUCAUCUCCGAACUGCAUCAGCAAACUUAAAACCAGGCUCCAAAAUCAGUCUAUUCUGUGAUCCAGGCUUCCAGAUGGUCGGGAACCCUGUGCAGUACUGUCUGAAUCAAGGACAGUGGACACAACCGCUCCCUCACUGUGAACGCAUUAGCUGUGGGGUGCCACCCCCUUUGGAGAAUGGCUUUUAUUCAGCUGAGGACUUCCAUGCUGGCAGCACAGUGACCUACCAGUGCAACAAUGGCUACUAUUUGUUGGGUGAUUCAAGGAUGUUCUGUACAGAUAAUGGGAGCUGGAAUGGCAUUUCACCAUCGUGCCUUGAUGUUGACGAAUGUGCUGUUGGGUCAGAUUGUAGCGAGCAUGCUUCCUGCUUGAAUACAAAUGGAUCCUAUGUUUGCUCAUGUAUCCCACCCUACACAGGAGAUGGGAAAAACUGUGCAGAACCUGUAAAAUGUAAGCCUCCAGGAAAUCCAGAAAACGGCCACUCUUCUGGUGAGAUUUAUACAGUGGGUGCUGAAGUCACAUUUUCAUGUGAAGAAGGACACCAGCUGAUGGGAGAAACCAAAAUCACAUGUUUAGAGUCUGGAGAAUGGAGUCAUCUGAUGCCAUAUUGUGAAGCUGUUUCCUGUGGUGCACCAGCUUUUCCAGAAAAUGGUGGCAUUGAUGGAUCAACAUUUACCUAUGGCAGUAAAGUAGUAUAUAGGUGUGAUAAAGGAUAUACUCUGGAUGGUGAUAAAGAGUCAUCCUGUCUUGCCAGUGGUUCUUGGAGCCACUCUCCUCCUGUGUGUGAACUAGUCAAGUGUUCUAGCCCCGAAAACAUAAAUAAUGGGAAAUAUAUUUUGAGUGGGCUUACAUACCUUUCUACUGCAUCGUAUUCGUGUGAGAGUGGAUACAGCUUACAGGGCCCUUCCGUCAUUGAAUGCUCGGCGUCAGGCAGCUGGGACAGAGCGCCACCUACCUGUCAUCUUGUCUUCUGUGGAGAGCCGCCAGCCAUCAAAGAUGCUGUCAUCACCGGGAGUAACUUCACUUUUGGGAACACUGUUACUUACACUUGCAAAGAAGGCUACACCCUUGCUGGUCCUGACACCAUUGAAUGCCUGGCCAGUGGCGAGUGGAGUGGAAGUAACCAGCAGUGUCUGGCCGUCUCCUGUGAUGAGCCCCCCAACGUGGAACAUGCCUCUCCAGAGACCGCCCAUCGGUUAUUUGGAGACAUUGCAUUCUACUACUGCUCAGAUGGUUACAGCCUGGCAGACAAUUCCCAGCUCAUCUGCAAUGCCCAGGGCAAGUGGGUUCCCCCAGAAGGUCAGGCCGUGCCCCGUUGUAUAGCUCAUUUCUGUGAAAAACCUCCAUCUGUUUCCUACAGCAUCUUAGAAUCUGUGAGCAAAGCCAAAUUUGCAGCAGGCUCAGUUGUAAGCUUCAAAUGCAUGGAAGGUUUUGUACUGAACACCUCAGCCAAGAUAGAAUGUAUGAGAGGUGGGCAGUGGAACCCUUCCCCCUUGUCCAUCCAGUGCAUCCCCGUGCGCUGUGGAGAGCCACCAAGCAUCAUGAAUGGCUAUGCAAGUGGAUCAAACUACAGUUUUGGGGCCAUGGUAGCUUAUAGCUGCAACAAAGGGUUCUACGUCAAAGGAGAGAAGAAGAGUACCUGCGAAGCCACAGGACAGUGGAGUAGCCCCACACCCACAUGCCACCCUGUAUCUUGCAAUGAACCACCUAAGGUAGAGAAUGCCUUUCUGGAGCACGCAACUGGCAGGAUCUUUGAGAGUGAAGUGAGGUAUCAGUGUAAUCCAGGCUAUAAGUCAGUUGGAAGUCCUGUAUUUGUCUGCCAAGCCAAUCGCCACUGGCACAGUGAAUCUCCUCUGUCAUGCAUCCCUCUCAACUGUGGAAAACCUCCUCCAAUCCAGAAUGGCUACAUGAAAGGAGAAAAUUUUGAAGUAGGGUCCAAGGUUCAGUUUUUCUGUAAUGAGGGUUAUGAGCUUGUUGGCGACAAUUCUUGGACAUGCCAGAAAUCUGGCAAAUGGAAUAAGAAGCCAAACCAAAAGUGUGUGCCCACCAAGUGCCCAGAGCCACCCCUCCUGGAAAACCAGCUCGUGUUGAAGGAGUUGACUACUGAGGUAGGAGUGGUGAUGUUUUCCUGUAAAGAAGGGCAUGCUCUACAGGGCCCCUCUGUCCUGAAAUGUUUGCCAUCCCAGCAAUGGAAUGAUUCAUUUCCUAUUUGUAAGAUGGUUCUGUGUCUCCCACCUCCCCUGAUUUCCUUUGGUGUUCCUGCUCCUUCUUCUGCUCUUCAUUUUGGAAGUACUGUCAAGUAUUCUUGUGUGGAUGGGUUUUUCCUAAGAGGAGAUCCUACCACUUUCUGCCAAGCUGAUGGUACCUGGAGCUCUCCACUGCCAGAAUGUGUUCCAGUAGAAUGCCCCCAACCUGAAGAAAUCCUCAAUGGCAUCAUUGAUGUGCAAGGUCUUGCUUAUCUCAGCACAGCUCUCUAUACCUGCAAGCCAGGCUUUGAGUUGGUGGGAAAUACUACCACCCUUUGUGGAGAAAAUGGUCACUGGCUUGGAGGAAAACCAACAUGUAAACCCAUUGAGUGCCCAAAGCCCAAGAAGAUUUUGAAUGGCAAAUUCACUUACACAAACCUACACUAUGGGCAAACCAUUACAUACUCUUGUGACCGAGGCUUUAGGCUUGAAGGUCCCAAAGCCUUGACUUGUUUGGAGACAGGUAAUUGGGAUGUGGAUGUCCCAUCUUGCAACGCCAUCCAUUGUAAUCCUCCACAACCCAUUGAAAAUGGUUUUGUAGAAGGUGCAGAUUACAGCUAUGGUGCCAUGAUCAUCUACAGCUGCAUCCCUGGAUUCCAGGUAGCUGGUCAUGCCAUGCAGACCUGUGAAGAGUCAGGAUGGUCCAGCUCCAUCCCAACUUGUGUACCCAUAGACUGUGGGCUCCCUCCUCACAUUGAUUUUGGAGACUGUACUAAGGUCAAAGACGGUCAGGGAUAUUUUGACCAGGAAGAAGAUGUGAUGGAAGUUCCAUAUGUGACUCCUCACCCUCCUCGUCAUCUGGGAGCAGUGGCUAAAACCUGGAAAAACACAAAGGGAUCUCCUGCUACACAUUCAGCAAACUUUCUAUAUGGCACCAUGGUUUCAUACACCUGUAAUCCAGGAUAUGAACUUUUGGGAAACCCUGUACUGAUCUGCCAGGAAGAUGGAACAUGGAAUGGCAGUGCACCAUCUUGCAUUUCAAUUGAAUGUGACUUGCCUGUUGCUCCUGAAAAUGGCUUUUUGCAUUUUACAGAGACUACCAUGGGCAGCGCUGCACAAUAUAGCUGCAAACCGGGACACAUUCUGGUGGGCUCUGACAUAAGACUUUGUCUCCAAAACAGAGAGUGGAGUGGUACUUCUCCACGCUGUGAGGCCAUUUCAUGCAAAAAACCAAAUCCGGUUAUGAAUGGCUCCAUCAAAGGAAGUAACUACACAUACCUGAGCGUGCUGUACUAUGAGUGUAAUCCUGGGUAUGUGUUGAAUGGCACUGAGAGGAGAACAUGCCAAGGAAAUAAAAAUUGGGAUGGGGAUGAGCCAAUUUGCAUUCCUGUGGACUGUGGUUCACCCCCAAUCUCAGCCAAUGGCCAGGUGAAAGGAGAUGAGUAUACAUUCCAAAAAGAGAUUGAGUACACUUGCAAGGUAGGGUUCUUACUUGAGGGAGCCAGGAGUCGUGUUUGUCUUGCCAAUGGAACUUGGAGUGGAACCACUCCCAUCUGCGUGCCUGUCAGAUGUGCCAGCCCACCACAGGUGGCAAAUGGGGCGAUGGAUGGCCUAGACUAUGGUUUGGGGAAGGAAGUAGUGUUCCACUGUCAGGAGGGCUAUGUCUUGCAUGGUGCUCCAAAACUCACCUGUCAGUCGGAUGGGACAUGGGAUGCAGAGGUUCCUCUCUGUAAACCAGUCAACUGUGGACCCCCUGAAGAUCUUGCUCAUGGCUUCCCUAAUGGCUUUUCCUUUUCUCAUGGGGGCCAGAUACAGUAUCAAUGCUUUUCUGGUUAUAAGCUCCAUGGAAGUCCUUCAAGAAAGUGUCUCUCCAAUGGCUCCUGGAGUGGCAGCCCACCGUCCUGCCUGCCUUGCAGGUGUUCCACACCAGUAAUUCAAAAUGGAGCUGUCAAUGGGACAGAUUUUGGUUGUGGAAAGGCAGCCCAGAUUCAGUGCUUCAAGGGUUUCAAGCUCCUGGGACUUUCUGAAAUCACCUGUGAAGCCAAUGGCCAGUGGAGCUCUGGCUUCCCACGCUGUGAACACGCUUCUUGUGGUUCUCUCCCAGUGAUACCAAAUGCAUUCAUCACUGAGAGUGGCUCUUUAGAGGAAAAUGUGAUCACUUACAACUGCAGACCUGGGUAUGUCAUACAAGGCAGUUCAGAUCUGAUUUGUAUGGAGAAAGGGAUGUGGAGCCAGCCUCAUCCCGUCUGUGAGCCAGUGUCCUGUGGACCCCCACCGUCUGUUGCCAAUGCAGUGGCAACUGGAGAGGCACACACCUAUGAAAGUAAAGUGAAACUCAGGUGUCUGGAGGGUUAUAUGAUGGAUACAGAUAUAGAUACAUUCACCUGUCAGAAAGAUGGUCUUUGGUUCCCUGAGACAAUCUCCUGCAGUCCCAGAAAAUGUCCUCUGCCAGCAAACAUAACACAUCUACUCAUUCACGGGGAUGAUUUCAGUGUGAAUAAGCAAGUUUCUGUGUCAUGUGCAGAAGGGUAUACCAAUGAGGGGGUUAACACAUCAACAUGUCAGCCUGAUGGCACCUGGGAGCCACCAUUUUCUGAUGAAUCCUGCAGUCCAGUUUCUUGUGGGGAACCUGAAAGUCCAGAGCAUGGAUUUGUGGUUGGCAGUGAAUACACUUUUGAAAGCACAGUUAUUUAUCAGUGUGAACCUGGCUAUGAAUUAGAAGGAAACGGAGAACGCACCUGCCAGGAGAACAGCCAGUGGAGUGGAGGGGUAGCCACGUGCAAAAAGAGCAAGUGUGAAUCUCCACUUGGGUUUCUGAACGGGAAAGCGGAAAUCGAAAACACUACCGCAGGACCCAGCGUGGUGUAUUCCUGCAGCCGAGGCUACAGCCUUGAAGGCGCUCCUGAGGCGUACUGCACUGAAAAUGGAACUUGGAGCCAGCCAGUUCCUCUCUGCAAACCAAAUCCAUGCCCUGUCCCUUUUGUGAUCCCCGAGAACGCUCUGCUUUCUGAAAAGGAGUUUUAUGUUGAUCAGAACGUGUCGAUCAAGUGUAGGGAAGGCUUUCUACUCCAGGGCCAAGGCGUCAUUACCUGCAACCCUGAUGAGACGUGGACUCAGACAAGUGCCAAAUGUGAAAAAAUCUCAUGUGGUCCACCAACUCACGUAGAAAAUGCGAUUGCUCGAGGUGUGCAUUAUCAGUAUGGGGACAUGAUCACUUACUCGUGUUACAGUGGAUACAUGUUGGAGGGUUCCCUAAGGAGUGUUUGCCUAGAGAAUGGAACCUGGACAUCACCUCCUAUUUGCAGAGCUGUCUGUCGAUUCCCAUGUCAGAAUGGAGGUGUCUGCCAACGCCCAAAUGCUUGUUCUUGUCCAGACGGCUGGAUGGGGCGCCUCUGUGAAGAACCAAUAUGCAUUCUUCCCUGUCUGAAUGGCGGUCGCUGUGUGGCCCCUUAUCAGUGUGACUGCCCACCUGGUUGGACGGGGUCUCGCUGUCACACAGCUGUUUGCCAGUCUCCCUGCUUAAAUGGUGGAAAAUGUGUAAGACCAAACCGAUGCCAUUGUCUCUCAUCUUGGACAGGACAUGACUGUUCCAGUGAAUGUCCUCUUGUCACCUCAAGUAUUUGCCAUCUCUGCAGAGAUUAAAAAAAUAAACUGAACACCAAGGAGCAAAUUUGGAUUAUGCAAGUAUAUUUGGAAGCAUUUAAGGAAAAGGAGGACUGGGUUUUAAGCACUGCACAACCAACCAGCUCUCCCAAAAACAGGAUCAUCUCUUCCUGGUAGUCCUGGGCAUCCUGGAACUUACGCAAAGAAAUUCCAACACGGUGCUGGGUCUUGUUUUCUUUAGUAAACUUGUUAUUUUGGGUUUACCUUUCGAUUUUGUGUUAUAUUUUGUUAUUCCUUGGGACAUACUUUCUUACAUGUUUCCAUUUUUAAAUAUGCCUGUAUUUUCUAUAUAAAAAUAUAUUAAAUAGAUGCUGCUCCACUCUCACAAAAUGUACAUACUCUGCUGUCUGUUGGGAAAGUUCCCUGUACCCAUUUUUAUUCAGUUACUUAAAAUGAUUUUUCAAUUAAAAUAUAUUUUGCUACUAAAUAAUAUUUUGCUGGACAGUGCCGUUUUGCGACGUGACCAGGGAGUAAUGAAGAGGAUUAAUGAUCUUUCAUCUAUGCUACUGGAGCAAUACAGGAUCACAUGGAGUACACCAAGAAGUUACAGUGAAGAAGACCCCUUCAUUCUAGUUCCAUCUUCUUUGCAGUAUGUGUAACAAUAAAGGUUUCCUUUUAUUUAA